Molecule: non-coding RNA, 24 nt
Filed under: Arabidopsis thaliana (thale cress)
Lineage: Eukaryota; Viridiplantae; Streptophyta; Magnoliopsida; Brassicales; Brassicaceae
Source: RNAcentral
ACUAUGUGUUGUUAUUCAAGCCUU